CUCAUGUCUUGUUUUCGUCAUAGAUGUCGAGAGAUGGCUCAAUGGUGGACAGCUCUGUUUCGUAACCCAAGCUUCGUGGAGACAGGGAAUUUCGGUGGAAAAACAGACUACCUGAAAAGGAAACAUAAAAAAAUAAGCAAACAAAUAGAUACAGAAGUUGGCAUAACAACCGAAAAUUACACCUCUGAAUUGCCGCUAUGGUCGUGUACUAACUGGAGAGGCUGAACGGAGAAGCUCGCGGAGGUGCUAAAUCUCUUAGAACCAACAGUGUAUCAACAAACAACUACAAUCACUGAAAAUUCACCAUAACUUAAAAUGAUAAAACAAACAUCCAGCAUUGAAAUCAUUUUCAAUUUGUAAAACCCCUCCACUGCUUUUUUUCCCCCCAAAAAUAGCAAUUUUUCUUGGAAAAAAAAUCUUAAAAAUUAUUAUUAUUUUUUUUUUAUGUAAGCUUUCGGAAGUAGUAGUAGUUUGUGAACAAAGUAUGUUUAAUUUUCUAUAUGUAUUUAUGUACCCUUUUGAAAUGUAAAAUGCUACAUAUGAUGACAUUACAUAAACAAGACAUAAAGAUUAUUACGUAUGAAAAGAAUAAACUUCAAGUGUUUAAAUCCAUGAAGGAUUCACUCAAGUAUGAGUGAAGACCUCUCCUCUACAUCCUCUGUGCACGAGUGUUAUGUGAUCUUCAAUAGAAAUAAUUUCUACUAAGCACACUAGCAUUACAAUGUGGUUACCAAUGGAUUCUUGGGAGAUGUCGGCUGGUCACAACAUAACAACAAAUAUGGCAGCAU
Molecule: long non-coding RNA, 788 nt
Organism: Hyla sarda
Lineage: Eukaryota; Metazoa; Chordata; Amphibia; Anura; Hylidae
Exons: 4
Source: RefSeq, a predicted model, not a curated record